Long non-coding RNA from Polistes dominula (European paper wasp), 449 nucleotides. NCBI's taxonomy places the organism in Eukaryota, Metazoa, Arthropoda, Insecta, Hymenoptera, Vespidae. The record is from RefSeq and is a predicted model, not a curated record.
GAGAGAGAGAGAGAGAGAGAGAAGAAACGUCAAGAGAGGGAUGAUAACGCAACACCCCUGCGCUUGCGAAUUAAGAGAGAUGAUUCCAAUCAGGGUGGAUGUCAGGAUGUCUAUAAAGAAGAUGAUCAUAAGGAUUCAAUAAAAACUGUUGGCACUGUCUUCAAAGGAAUUCUUGAAUUAUUGUGAAUUGGGUAAAUACAAAUCAUCCCUUUACUACUUUCCGCAUAAAAAUAACCCUUUUAGUUGUUUAUAGCUCACCCGCAAUAAAAAGGGUCAUCCCUACUUACGAUCUGCUAAUCUGGUCCUAAACGUGACCAUAAAGUAAUGUCAAUACAAAUGUAAAAUUAUAAACCUACAUUGUAUUCUCCAUAGCGUAUUUUUUAUAAGACACUAAAGAUGUUUAAAUUAAUAAUUUAUUUAAAUAAAUACAACCAGUUACUCGUGCCGAU